AUUGAACGCUGGCGGCAGGCCUAACACAUGCAAGUCGAACGGUAACAGGAAGCAGCUUGCUGCUUUGCUGACGAGUGGCGGACGGGUGAGUAAUGUCUGGGAAACUGCCUGAUGGAGGGGGAUAACUACUGGAAACGGUAGCUAAUACCGCAUAACGUCGCAAGACCAAAGAGGGGGACCUUCGGGCCUCUUGCCAUCGGAUGUGCCCAGAUGGGAUUAGCUAGUAGGUGGGGUAACGGCUCACCUAGGCGACGAUCCCUAGCUGGUCUGAGAGGAUGACCAUCCACACUGGAACUGAGACACGGUCCAGACUCCUACGGGAGGCAGCAGUGGGGAAUAUUGCACAAUGGGCGCAAGCCUGAUGCAGCCAUGCCGCGUGUAUGAAGAAGGCCUUCGGGUUGUAAAGUACUUUCAGCGGGGAGGAAGGGAGUAAAGUUAAUACCUUUGCUCAUUGACGUUACCCGCAGAAGAAGCACCGGCUAACUCCGUG
This 490-nucleotide ribosomal RNA is filed under the name uncultured bacterium. RNAcentral describes it as "partial 16S ribosomal RNA". It matches the Rfam family "Bacterial small subunit ribosomal RNA", at positions 30 to 507 of the family's 1533-position model. The record is from RNAcentral.